This 468-nucleotide ribosomal RNA is filed under the name uncultured bacterium. RNAcentral describes it as "partial 16S ribosomal RNA". It matches the Rfam family "Bacterial small subunit ribosomal RNA", at positions 28 to 507 of the family's 1533-position model. The record is from RNAcentral.
GACGAACGCUGGCGGCGUGCUUAACACAUGCAAGUCGAACGGAAAGGCCCUGCUUUUGUGGGGUGCUCGAGUGGCGAACGGGUGAGUAACACGUGAGUAACCUGCCCUUGACUUUGGGAUAACUUCAGGAAACUGGGGCUAAUACCGGAUAGGAGCUCCUGCUGCAUGGUGGGGGUUGGAAAGUUUCGGCGGUUGGGGAUGGACUCGCGGCUUAUCAGCUUGUUGGUGGGGUAGUGGCUUACCAAGGCUUUGACGGGUAGCCGGCCUGGGAGGGGGACCGGCCACAAUGGGACUGAGAUACGGACCAGACUCCUACGGGAGGCAGCAGUGGGGAAUAUUGCGCAAUGGGCGGGAGCCUGAGGCAGCAACGCCGCGUGCGGGAUGACGGCCUUCGGGUUGUAAACCGCUUUCGCCUGUGACGAAGCGUGAGUGACGGUAAUGGGUAAAGAAGCACCGGCUAACUACGUG